CGCCUGUUUAUCAAAAACAUGUCCUUUUGAUUUAUUAUUUAAGGUUUGACCUGCCCAAUGAUUAGGUAUUUAAUGGCCGCAGUAUUUUAACUGUGCUAAGGUAGCAUAAUCACUUGUCUUUUAAUUGAGGGCUUGUAUGAAUGGUUUGACGAGUUAUUAACUUUCUUUUAUUUAAUUAAUGAAUUUAAUUUUCUAGUUAAAAAGCUUAGAAUUUUUUUAUGGGACGAGAAGACCCUAUAGAGUUUGAUAUUUAUUUUUAUUAAUUUUUUUAGUUUAAAGGAUAAUUUAUUUUAAUUUAUUUUGUAUUUUGUUGGGGUGAUAGUGGAAUUUCUUUAACUUCUGUUAUUUAUAGUUUUCAUUAAUUUAUGUUUUUAUGAUCCAUUUUUAGUGAUUGGAAGAUUAAAUUACCUUAGGGAUAACAGGCGUGAUUCUCUUGGAGAGUUCAUAUUGAUAAGGGAGUUUGCGACCUCGAUGUUGGAUUAAAAUUAGUUUUGGGUGUAGUAGUUUAUUUACUAGGUCUGUUCGACCUUUAAAAUUUUACAUGAUCUGAGUUCAAACCGGAG
Molecule: ribosomal RNA, 563 nt
Filed under: Maraenaspis sp. CW-2009
Lineage: Eukaryota; Metazoa; Arthropoda; Insecta; Hemiptera; Reduviidae
Description: partial 16S ribosomal RNA
Rfam family: Bacterial large subunit ribosomal RNA
Source: RNAcentral